CCGCCUCGGUCCAACCCAGCCCCCUCCCCCCACCGCCCACUUAGUCCAUUUCUCCCAGCAAGCAACGCGACUCACAACCGCGGACACGCCACUUCCGGCAGCUGCCGGAGCCGCGCGGAAGCCCCAGCCUGUAACUUGGCCCUAGCGGCUUCCAUGGACGCGCACGACGCCCCGCGGCCAUCUUGGACCCGGGCAAAUCGCACGUCGCCUUAUGAUUUAGAGCGAGAUGGAGGGAGAACAACCCUUGGAAAAUGAGUGAAAGAGGUUAUACACGAAAGAAUACUGAUGAAAAAACAAAAGUCCCAUGGAGGAGGGAAUGUACUGGUGAAAAUUUGUGAAGUUCACUGUGCUUCAUCCUCUCAAAUGGAGUUUGUUCCCCUGCAGAAGAAUCAAGAUGCUUGGCCCUCCACCCACACAGUUAUC
Long non-coding RNA from Trachemys scripta elegans, 423 nucleotides. RefSeq lists it as uncharacterized. The transcript has 3 exons. The record is from RefSeq and is a predicted model, not a curated record. NCBI's taxonomy places the organism in Eukaryota, Metazoa, Chordata, Testudines, Emydidae.